This 352-nucleotide transfer-messenger RNA is filed under the name Youngiibacter fragilis 232.1. RNAcentral's name for it is "Clostridium sp. 232.1 transfer-messenger RNA". It matches the Rfam family "transfer-messenger RNA". From Rfam's summary of the family: Bacterial tmRNA, also known as 10Sa RNA or SsrA, is named for its dual tRNA and mRNA-like properties. Its role is to liberate the mRNA from a stalled ribosome. RNAcentral also lists the same sequence under 1 other name. The record is from Rfam by way of RNAcentral. Lineage: Bacteria; Bacillati; Bacillota; Clostridia; Eubacteriales; Clostridiaceae.
GGGGAUGUAUUGGCUUCGACAGGGAUAUGGACGGUUUGGUAAGCGAGUAGAAGGACCCCGUGGGCCUGCUUUAAAAAACUAUGGGAAUUUGUAAACGCAGAAGAUAAUUUUGCACUAGCAGCCUAGUCUGCUACGUUCUGCCCGGGAUGGCCGUUGCCUGGGGCCAGGGCGUCAUUAAACGGUAAAACGAGCCUGGCAAAGCUUUGAGCCAGGAACGGAAUAAAUGAAGCUACAGAUUCCAUAGCCUGCCUGUAGGCGAUGGAGGAUGGAAAUUUAAACUACAGAGCUACACUCGUAGAAAGCCAGGUCGGCUGAUUUCUGGACACGGGUUCGACACCCGUCAUCUCCACCA